GGAUUGUAGUCUGCAACUCGACUACAUGAAGCUGGAAUCGCUAGUAAUCGCGGAUCAGAAUGCCGCGGUGAAUACGUUCCCGGGUCUUGUACACACCGCCCGUCACACCAUGGGAGUCAGUAACGCCCGAAGCCGGUGACCCAACCUAUUCUGGAGGGAGCCGUCGAGGGCGGGACGGAUGACUGGGGUGAAGUCGUAACAAGGUACC
RNAcentral lists this ribosomal RNA (208 nucleotides) under uncultured bacterium. Its description in RNAcentral is "partial 16S ribosomal RNA". It matches the Rfam family "Bacterial small subunit ribosomal RNA", at positions 1295 to 1500 of the family's 1533-position model. The record is from RNAcentral.